GGGGAAUUUUGGACAAUGGGGGCAACCCUGAUCCAGCCAUGCCGCGUGAGUGAAGAAGGCCUUCGGGUUGUAAAGCUCUUUCGGCCGGGAAGAAAUCGCAUAGGUUAAUACCCUGUGUGGAUGACGGUACCGGAAUAAGAAGCACCGGCUAACUACGUGCCAGCAGCCGCGGUAAUACGUAGGGUGCGAGCGUUAAUCGGAAUUACUGGGCGUAAAGCGUGCGCAGGCGGUUUCGUAAGACAGAGGUGAAAUCCCCGGGCUCAACCUGGGAACUGCCUUUGUGACUGCGAAGCUAGAGUACGGCAGAGGGGGGUGGAAUUCCACGUGUAGCAGUGAAAUGCGUAGAGAUGUGGAGGAACACCGAUGGCGAAGGCAGCCCCCUGGGCCGAUACUGACGCUCAUGCACGAAAGCGUGGGUAGCAAACA
This 426-nucleotide ribosomal RNA is filed under the name uncultured Rhodocyclaceae bacterium. RNAcentral describes it as "bacterial SSU rRNA". It matches the Rfam family "Bacterial small subunit ribosomal RNA", at positions 356 to 774 of the family's 1533-position model. The record is from RNAcentral. Lineage: Bacteria; Pseudomonadati; Pseudomonadota; Betaproteobacteria; Rhodocyclales; Rhodocyclaceae.